Molecule: small nucleolar RNA, 75 nt
Organism: Anser brachyrhynchus (Pink-footed goose)
Lineage: Eukaryota; Metazoa; Chordata; Aves; Anseriformes; Anatidae
Gene: SNORD59A
Product: small nucleolar RNA, C/D box 59A
Source: Ensembl
CCUCCCGUGACGAUGAAUUUCGGUGACUUUCGUUCUUCUGAGCUCGCUGAAGCCACACGUUGCAGUCUGAGGAGG